RNAcentral lists this non-coding RNA (32 nucleotides) under Mus musculus (house mouse). Lineage: Eukaryota; Metazoa; Chordata; Mammalia; Rodentia; Muridae. The record is from RNAcentral.
UGAACAGACGAGUUCAGUUUCCGCCCGUGUGU